CCACCCGUCAUCGGGGAGUAGCCGACUCGCGCACAGGCCCGUCCAGGACGGCGCGCCAUGCGCGGGUGCAUGCGUCAACACGCUUGGCCGUCCGGCCAUGGCGCGCGCGGCCCGCCGGUAU
Molecule: small RNA, 121 nt
Filed under: Castellaniella defragrans
Lineage: Bacteria; Pseudomonadati; Pseudomonadota; Betaproteobacteria; Burkholderiales; Alcaligenaceae
Description: Manganese sequence
Rfam family: Manganese Mn2+ riboswitch aptamer (yybP-ykoY)
About the family: This RNA was originally discovered in E. coli during a large scale screen and was named SraF. The family was later found to exist upstream of related families of protein genes in many bacteria, including the the yybP and ykoK genes in B. subtilis.
Source: RNAcentral